UGGUGGAGUGAUUUGUCUGCUUAAUUGCGUUAACGAACGAGACCUUAACCUGCUAACUAGUAACGUUCUAUAGCUCGUCUAUAGACGGCUUACUUCUUAGAGGGACUACUAUGGGUAACAUGGUGGAAGUUUGAGGCAAUAACA
This 144-nucleotide ribosomal RNA is filed under the name uncultured eukaryote. RNAcentral describes it as "partial 18S ribosomal RNA". It matches the Rfam family "Eukaryotic small subunit ribosomal RNA", at positions 1299 to 1458 of the family's 1831-position model. The record is from RNAcentral.